ACGGUGAAGGUAGGCGUGAGAUUCAUAACUUUACCUUGCUUACAAAUCAACAUGUUGUUCAUUUCCUUAUUUACAAAAUUUCAUUUGAACAUGUUUGAAUGAUAGCUACGUGAUCUGUAAGUUGUACUUCGUUUCCUAUUUGUGGCUACAGCUGUUUUACAAUUUUAGUGCUUACUGUAUUCAGGUUAAAUCUGGCAACCAGCCAGAAAUCACAUGCGUUAAGAGCUGGCCAUCUAAUUGCCAGGACAGGUUGUUGUCCAAUGGCACACUUGACACUUGGUUUAUAGCUUUUGUUUGCUGUUCCAAAUAAAGCAAACACGUUUUUAAGGUAAAUAAUAUGAGCUGAUAACAAUCAUAUCUAUGUAAUAGUGAAAAUAUGUCAUAAACGUUAAUUAACAUUUAAGGGGCACCUAAUAAGUAGGCUUUACAUCUGGACUAUUUCUUUUUUAACAAGAGAUGACCCUUUGGUUUAAGCUUAUUCUGCAUAAUGCGUUGCUUUUCGGCCUGGGCCUGCAUUUUAAGGCGCUCGUGACGUUGCUU
Molecule: long non-coding RNA, 540 nt
Organism: Drosophila montana
Lineage: Eukaryota; Metazoa; Arthropoda; Insecta; Diptera; Drosophilidae
Exons: 2
Source: RefSeq, a predicted model, not a curated record